GCCGGGUGUGGUGGCAUACACCUGUAGUCCCAGCUACUUGGGAGGCUGAGGUGGGGGGAUCGCUUGAACCCAGGAGUUCAAGGCUGCAGCGAGCCAUGAUUGUGCCACUGCACCCCAGCCCGGGUGACAAAGUGAGACUCUGUCUCAA
This 148-nucleotide signal recognition particle RNA is filed under the name Chlorocebus sabaeus (green monkey). Its description in RNAcentral is "Metazoan signal recognition particle RNA". It matches the Rfam family "Metazoan signal recognition particle RNA". Rfam says of the family: The signal recognition particle (SRP) is a universally conserved ribonucleoprotein. It is involved in the co-translational targeting of proteins to membranes. The record is from Rfam by way of RNAcentral. Lineage: Eukaryota; Metazoa; Chordata; Mammalia; Primates; Cercopithecidae.